This 607-nucleotide long non-coding RNA is filed under the name Capra hircus (goat). Its description in RNAcentral is "lncRNA (ENSCHIG00000001914.1)". Lineage: Eukaryota; Metazoa; Chordata; Mammalia; Artiodactyla; Bovidae. The record is from RNAcentral.
AUCAGGUGCACCUGGCAUUGUCGAAAAAGAGCAGGCGCAAGACUCUGUUGCCCAUUUAAGAUGAUUAACACCCGGCAAACCUCACGCGAGACCUGAGUUCCUAGGUUGAAACCCCAAGCUCUUUCCCACUUGCUUGUGAGCAGACGAUCCAUCUCAGGAGUUACGGAUGAAGGAUGUGCAAGUAGCGCUUUUAUUCAUCUUUGCCUUGAAAGAGGAAUUGAUUCCUUACACAGCUGUAGAUUUCAGUGUAUCUGUGGGAGGAACUGAGUUCAAGACCUUCCGACAACACCAUCUUGAAUCUAUUUAUUCAUCGUGAGCUUUUGACCAACCCAGGAAGCAAUCGUGAAAUGUUAAAUAUGCAAGAUCACCUAAUGUGAUUAUUUGGGUAAGAAAUGGGUUUCUCAUUUGGAGUUGUAAAUGCACCACCCUUUAAAAAAAUACUUAAAGAGAACUACCUGGUUCUCAAGCUAACCUGUGUCAACUGAAAAAAUAUGUGCAGUCUAAAAGUUGAGUCUAAAUUGAAAAAAUAUGUGCACUCUAAAAUGUUUCAUUUGGUGGAAGUUUUUAGGAUUUCAAGCCUGGAGGAAGCAUCUCAAGUGACCCUGAG